Molecule: ribosomal RNA, 2255 nt
Filed under: Triticum aestivum (bread wheat)
Lineage: Eukaryota; Viridiplantae; Streptophyta; Magnoliopsida; Poales; Poaceae
Description: partial small subunit ribosomal RNA
Rfam family: mir-156 microRNA precursor family (bases 1656-1740)
Source: RNAcentral
AGGAUGUAACAUCAGCUCAUUAAUUAAGGUAAUAUCCUAGACUUUUUUGAAAGAACAAUUUUCUAAGCUUUCUUUAACCAUGUUCUUUAAUAGUAUAGAUCGUAAUCAAACUGGUCAGUAGUGACUAAGACUAAACAUGGGAUGGACUAGGAGCAGUGGUAGAUCUUGAAAGUGCUCUUUUGACUUGCUACACUCAACUACUAGUACCUUUUAUUUUUGUCCAAUUAGAUUUCUGAUCGUUAGGUGUCCAUGAAGAUUCACAUGCCUCUGUGCCUCCAGGAAGCUUGCAUGCGUCGCUACCGCUCUAGUUUUAUUUUUUAAAAUCAUGAGUACCUCCCGGUCUCUCCCCACCGCCCACCGACGAAUGACAAUUCAUUUAGGGCCGGCGGCAGUUUGAGUGGACAAUCCAGAAGGCCGAAGGGCCUUUACCUUGGCACUUGAAAUUUUCCAAUACACCAAAUUAGAUCAAUGUGGUCAGGUUUGUAUAGGUUUUCGCCUGGUUCUCGUGACUUAACUGACAAUUUUCUUCUUAAUUAAUGUAUGAAGUCCAUUUCAAAGAAUAAUAAUUAGGUCAACAUGCCUGAAAUUUUGACUUAAAUCUAAUAAUUAUUUCCUUGAUUGUUUGUGUACAAAUCCUACUUAUAUAAAAAAAAGAGAAUGCACAUGUUAACUCGGGAGGUGGCUGUGUUUUUCUUUUUUAUCUGUAUUUCAUGAUAUUCCUUUUUAUCUGUUUGCCGAUGAUAGCCACUGAAUGUCUCUAGUCGCCGGGAUUCAUAGAAGAGGGAGUAUAUUCGUCAACUUGAAGAGGGAGGGGAUGAGAAGUGACCUUGCUUCCUUUAAAUCUUGUCAUGAGGGACGGUCAAUGCCGGCAGUGUAUAAUAUACAAAACAGAUAGGGGGCAGCAAAAACCAUAGACAGCGGAGGGACCAUCCUGGAUGGUUUCAUGGAUGCUGGACAGUUGCAGAUAAGUAUCCUUUUAUUCUAUGGUAUACACGAUAGCCAGCCAGGAGAUCAUGAGAUCAAACCAGAUACUCUUGGCUGUGUGAAUUCGUUGGCGGAAAGUAGCUUGAUUUAUCCAGAUUUAAUUCCCAAUAGACAAAAAAAAGAAAGAAAGAAAAUGGACUAAAAACAUAAAAUUAUAGGGCCUCGUUUGAGAUACUAGCUAGAGUAUUGCCAUACUAUGAACAGUGCUAGGUUUAAUUCCGUUUUGGGUGGGAUAUUUGUACUAUGUACGACUGCCAAAAGAAUAUAAUAUUAUCGACAAUUAAGUAAAUAUGCGUACUGUGGUGUCAACUGUUGCUGAUUGGAACUACUACUUGGCAGCAGCAGCAUGGGUACUACUCCCGGUACUACUUAAAACCAUGGGAGGGCUCAGCACUGGAGGUACGACCACCUAUCCCAUCCAUCUCCUCUGCUCCAAAACCAGACGCCAAGAGCCCUUUCUCUCACCACCUCUCCUUUCAAUUCCAGUACGGCGGUCGCUCACCGGAUCCAAGAAGAAAAAAUCUCUCCCAUUUCCUGUUGCGUCCGGAGGUUUUGUUUGGGUUUCCUUUCGGAUUUUUGGGUUGUUUGCUGCUUUUGUGUCGGAAGUUGUUCUUCGGUUGUGCAAUCUGUGAAGUAAUGUUAGCUCCUGGUGUGGGGAGGCCCUCGAGAGAUUGACAGAAGAGAGUGAGCACAUGGCGUGAUGCCGGCAUAACAUGUAUGCCGUCUUCGCCGCGUGCUCACUCCUCUUUCUGUCAGCCUCUUUCUCUCAGGAGUUUACGUUACAUUCAGAUCCACUGGUGGGUAUGUAGAACUAAUUUGAUUCAAUUUCAAUUCAAUAGUUCAUAAUUUUCCACACAAAAAAGAAGGUUAACCCCUGCUUAUGAGAGGAACUCAGCCACAAAAGAAAGACAGAACACGCAUGCGGCAUGUACUCUGGCUGUUCUCCGACUUUACCAUGCCACUUCCUUAUCUCUUUAGAUGUGUGCGCACGCAAAAAAAUAAAAUAAAAUAAAUUGCUCUGUUGUUUUGAUCUUUUCAGUCAAGUUGCUCCUGGGAACUACUACCGAGGAGAGUGAUACGGAUGCUAGUGGUAAUUGUAAGGAGUGGCAGCUGUAGGCUUGUAGUACUGGAAUAAAUGAUUGGAUUUGUUACUUGUUUUUUUCAUCCCCAAAUUGUUUUAUCUUCUCCCUUUGCAGUUGUACUCGCCUUGGGAGCUGAAUCAUGGAGAUGCUGCCGGUACACUGCAACAUGCACCAGCUCUCUCUCUCUCU